GUGGCCGCGACACCAUCACCGCAUAUUCUGUGGAAGAUAAUGAGUUGUGGCUGCGGCAUUUGGUGGGAAUGCUCAUUCAUAGUGGCCUUGCUUUCUAUGCACUGCUUGUUGCUUUCCCCGCCUCUGACAUAACAAGCUCGAUUAUGUCCUGUCCCUCACUGUGGAGAACUUCCUCGAGCGUCGCCUCCAAACUUUAGUGUUCAAGGCUGGCAUGGCCAAGUCUAUUCACCAUGCUAGAGUGCUGAUCAGGCAAAGACACAUUAGGGUUGGGAGACAGGUUGUGAAUGUUCCAUCUUUCCUUGUGAGAGUUGAUUCCCAGAAGCACAUUGACUUCUCUCUCACAUUGCCGUCGAUCGCCGGAGAUCUGGAGAUCUGGAGUGCUUGAAAUGGCGGCGGCGGCUCCUGCAUCCUCAUCGGCUUCUCCUUCUCCUACGGCCUUUUUCUCACCGCCAGCUCCUCCUUCGUCGAUUACCUCUCCUUCACCGUUCGUCUCCGCGCCUCCGACUGCCGUGGCGCUCCGUUGACUUCAGUAAAUCCGGCAGGUCGUCUUGUUAUUUGGAUUUUGUGAUGUGAAGCACGCAUAGUUUUUUUGAUUUUCUUUUCCUCUCUUGCUAGUCCCACCACCAAAAUUACCAAGAGAAAGAGAGAGAUAGGUGUUGGGCAGCCUGAUGGCUUUAAUUAUGGAUGCUAUUGUUCUAACCCUUCGUUUUCUGCUACUGUAGUAAUCUAAGGUGAAAGAAUAAGAGAUAGUCCAUUUAGGAAAAUUCAAUGCUGCAGUUGGAACAAUUUAUCUUCACUUAGGCUUGUGCGGAAAUGUAUUUUUAUGCGCAACUGAAUUUGUGAUUUUUAUUGGAGAGAUUUGAUUGAUUAAAGAAAAA
Molecule: long non-coding RNA, 878 nt
Organism: Salvia miltiorrhiza (redroot sage)
Lineage: Eukaryota; Viridiplantae; Streptophyta; Magnoliopsida; Lamiales; Lamiaceae
Exons: 2
Source: RefSeq, a predicted model, not a curated record